Molecule: RNA transcript, 2672 nt
Organism: Motacilla alba alba
Lineage: Eukaryota; Metazoa; Chordata; Aves; Passeriformes; Motacillidae
Exons: 8
Source: RefSeq, a predicted model, not a curated record
GGAAAUAGAUGUGAAAUCCCUGAUCUCUCAUGCCAGGGCUGAAAUCACUUCCUUCAAGAACAACAUCCACAUUAGGAAUCAACCUUCUUAUAAAUGGCUGAAUUAAACCAGAAGAGUUACAUGCAAAGCCUGACUCAUACUAGGAAGAAUACUGAAGGAGGGCAGUUCCUGGAAGAGGAGACUUCCUCAUGAGGUGUCCGUGGGGGCUUUGCACAAGCUCUUUCUGCCUGCAGCAUCUUGGGUAUCUGUUGAUUUCUUCUGCAGUAAUUCACAGGUGCCAAGGUUGCUUCAAAGAUGGGAGGAGCCAGUGAAAUGGCUUUUUCUCUGAGGUCCCAUUGACUUCUGCCUUUCCUCUGGAAGAGUAGCUGAAUGAAUUGGGAUCUGGAAAGGCUGUGCAGGCACAUGGAGAAGGGAAGAGCCAUGAAGGCUUCCUUGGACACAAACAGCUUCUGAGGGAGGAGCCUGCCCUGGCACCGUAGAGGAUCUGGGAGAGCUCCAGCCCUGCUGGAGCUGAGCCCCUGGGCAGCCCCAUGGACUCUCCCCACCUCCUGCUCUUGGGUUUCCUGCUCCUGGCCCUUGCUGCUCCCCAUCCAAGUAUUGCCAUGUCCAAUGCUGGCCCUGCUAAGGGGACACAAGGGAGCACAAAUAUGGCAGUCUACUACUGUAAGGACUAUGAAAGCUGCAAGUGCAAGAAUGGGAGAAUCAAUUUUAAAAACUUUAUAAAAAUCGCUGAAAUACAAAACAAGACAAAUACUAUUCCAGAUGUAACAGUUGAGUUGGUGAUUAAUAAAUCACACAUCAGUGUUUGCUUUGAGCAAGCAAAUUCCUCUCUUGAAGGAAUUUAUGGCAUCUUCUCCGACAAAACUGAUCCACCAAAACUCUGGUGUGGCAUCCUGAAUUCUGAAGAAAAUGAAGGAGGUAACAUCAGUACUGAGGACAAGAAUGUUUGCUGUGAGGCAGAGGCAGUUGCCUGGACGCACAACCCUAACCUGAAGUGCUACAUUCAAAAGUCACGUCCAAAACACACUGCACUGCCAGUUGCUGUUCCUGGUGAGGGAAUUCUAGAUGGGGCCAGCUCCUUUGUGUGGUGCUUACGAGGCAGCUCAUGGCUUAGCACUCCUGCUUGCUUCACUUGGAUGCUCUGUUUUCUUCUACUCUGCAGGUAAUCCUGAAUUUCUCAGCAGCAAAAAGAACAGUCUUGUCAUCUUGUUGGCAUUCCUGUUUGUUGGGGUUGGCACAGGAUGGGGCACCAUGUAUUACUUCUUGCGGCUGCGGCGUCGCCAAGCUUCUAGGCAAGACAGAGAGGCUUCUGAGAGAGAAAAGCUCACACAUCCUUGAUAACCAUCUACAAGGGAGAAAACCUCUCUGCCAGCAGCAUCUUCCUCCUCUCUCAGGAUGCACAGCAACCAGCUGAACAGACUGAUUUUCCACGGGAACUCCUGCCCUUGUAUUCCCAAAUAGUUUGGUUUUCACAAAGGUACCUUCACCACAUCCACACCUUCCCCAAGCACUGUGACUCUUGUCUAGCUCCAGGCCUUGGUGAGCAGCACAGGCAGCACCAGCAGCCCCCAUCCUCUCCUUGGCUUGGCUGCGGACAGCAGGCACCCCAGGGUGUGUGGCUGACUCAGCAGCACUGAAACCAGCUGAAUUCUCUCUGUGACAAAGUGGGAACAGCUCUGAAAUGCUUCCCAUGCCCUCUGCAUGGUUUUCACUUGGUAAUGCCACAGCAGCACCCAGGUGUCUGUAUGGUUUGAAUUCUCAGGUCAUCUCUGCAUUCACCAAAGCCUUUUGCACCACAAGCUGGCUGGUAGGUUGAACUGGAAGAGUUUGGAAGAAAUAUUUGAUUUUGCACCCACCUGCAUGCUGAGGACAUGUCUGAGUGUUUGUUCCUGUGCAGGGCUGGGUGGGAGGCUGUGUCCAGCUCUCCCAGGAAUGGCAUUGGGUCACAGAGGCCUCAGUCUCCCCCAGGCUGAGCAGAACUCUGGUAUCAAUCUUCCUGACAAAUUGGGCCAGUUUAGACAGCGUGAGAUGAGUACAGCCCCUCAGGAAUCCCACUGGCUACUUGGUAUCCUCAAAUCAUUCCCCAUUCCCACCUGAUUUGAAUAAAUCCUCAGCUUUUGCAUUGGAUCUAAUUUACUAUCAGGACUGUUGAGCAAAAAUCAGUGGCAGCACAAGGGGAGAAGCAAAUCCUUAAAGCAAUGUGAAUGUUUCCUGAAUCACUGUCCUUUUGUCACACAGCUAAACACAAGCACACACACAGUUGUUGGUUAUUUCUGCUUUGAUUGACUGGAUUUGUUUUUGCUGCUUGUUUUUUCCUCAAUGUGUCUUAACCAUCCAGUCAGUAGCAGAGUGAACCUUGCCAACAAACUCUGUUGUGCUGGUGCUUAAUAUCAAAUCUGGAUUUAACUGAUCUCCUUUCUGGUGAUGUUUUAAGAGAUCUCCAACACUUUGAAACAGCUGUUUCCCAUUUGAUCCCUCUGCUCCUCGCUAUUCAUUGCACAAAUGUUUCUUGUUCAGUUUCUUUGGUUAUUGGGGUCAUUGGAGAGCUCUAAGGGUCUCAUUAUAUAUUUGUAUACUUUUGUUUCUCACUAUAGACUGUAUUUACACCUUCUGCAAUCAUCUUUCAGAGAAUCUGUAUUAUCCUUGAUGUUAUUAAAUGCUUCUUAAAAAAA